This is a long non-coding RNA of Diceros bicornis minor, 2676 nucleotides long. RefSeq lists it as uncharacterized. The record is from RefSeq and is a predicted model, not a curated record. The transcript has 4 exons. Lineage: Eukaryota; Metazoa; Chordata; Mammalia; Perissodactyla; Rhinocerotidae.
GAGGACAUCCUUCCGUGAGCGGUGGCUGGCUGGCCCGCGACCACGUGGACUGGGCGCCGCGUGGGGGCCGCUUCUGUGCGGCCGAGCGGGGAGGGAGAGUGACGUGGCCCGGGCCACCUCCGCGCCUAGUGGGAGCCGUGACGCCCCGGCCCCCACUCCUUCUCCCUGGGACUGUGCCCCCGGCUGUGGGACAAGCCCCCUCGCGCCUCGUGUCUGCCGGGCGCCGCCGGGACCGCGCGUUCUCCGGGGCCUCCGCGCCCGCGCUCCGGCCCUGGAGGCGGCGGCCUGUGAGCAUUCAGUACCGUUUUAUAGCGGAGCUCCGAGCGCGACACGCAGCCGGAGGCGACCCCGCCCAGGCUGAGCCCUCGGGACGCGCCCUGGUCGCCUGCCUCUCAGGGCCCCGCUCAGCCCUCUGGGUCCCGUGGCGGUGGCAGAGGCGGCAGCACCGAUGAAUCCGGCGCAGGGCUGUGUGACCUUCGAGGAUGUGUUCGUGUACUUCUCCCGGGAGGAGUGGGAGCUCCUUGAGGAGGCUCAGCGACUCCUGUACCGUGAUGUGAUGCUGGAGAACUUUGCGCUUGUGUCCUCACUGGGACUUGCGGUUUCCAGAUCUCAUGUAGUUACCCACAUGGGACCAGAGGGGAGCCCAGGGUGGCUGAGAAGGUAGACACAGGCUCAGCCACAGCAAAGAAGACCUGGAGGAGGCCUGGUUUUUGGCAUGGAGUGGAAGAUGAGGAUGCACCUUGUGAGCAGGGCUUUUCUGUAGGCGUGUCACAGAUGAGAACUCCCAGGAGGGGUCCUUCCAGCCAAAUGGCUCACCCCUGUGACACGUGUAGCCCAGUCUUGAGAGACAUUUUUGUACCUGGCUGAACACCAGGGAACGCCAUGUGGGCAGCACCCAUACACCACCAUGUGAAGCAUUUGGAACCACUUCUGGUUCAGUGUAAACCUUGACCAGAUGCAUAAGCAGCAGAGUUGAGAGUAAUUCCUCAGAAGGGAGAAGGGCCAGGCCUCAUUGGUGAAGAGCUGCAGAUCCCACGUGUGAGAGGCCUUCACUCACAGGGAGGAUCCCAAGAACUUCUUGGUCAGCUCUGGACUUGUCCAGCACCAGGCUCCUCACAGUGGGGAGAAGCCACACAGAGCCCUGAGUGUUGGGAGGCGUUUCUGUGCUGGCGUGACUAACAGGCCCAUUUGUGUAGUGGAUUCAUUAUGCAAGAAAGUACCACCUGAGGCCAUGAAACCUUCCACCUCUUGUCAGAAGGAGCCUUGUCAGAAGGAGCCUUGCUCCAGGGUCAGUUGCCUUGGAGUCUCAAGGGACUCCUGGUUGGGAUGAGCUGGUGAACAAGGAGGGCCAAAUGCAGGAAGGGCGAGAGACUCCCCCAAGGAGAGUCUCCCCAGGAGGACGAGCUCUGAACUCUGUGGUGUGGGGACAGAUGAUAAUCCCCACUCGAGAGUUUCACAGGAGCGAGGCUCCAGGAGAUGCUUUUCAUGAACAGAACUCACCUGGACCAGGUAAAGCUUCUGUGGUCCAUGCAGGGAAGGAUCUCCACAAGUGGAAGGAAUGCGGGAAAGGGUCGAACAAACGUUGGCCUGUUGUUCGACAUCAGCAGACCAUGCUGACGUGAAGCCCUGUGAUGGCAGUGCACACGAGAAAGGCUUUGUCACAUGGGUGGACCUCAGUCAACACAUGAGGAUUUACACUUGUCGAAGCCAUGUGAGUGCUUCCUGGGUGGGAAGGCCUUCAACUGCAGGUCAGACCUCAUGCAGCACCAGCACCAGCAGAUUCACACUGGGGAGAAGCCUUGUGAAUGCAAAGAAUGUGGGAAAGUCUCUUGUGACAGCUCUGCUUUUGUCCAAAAUAAUAUUUCCCACUCUAGAGAAAGUCUCUUUGCAUGCAAAACACAUGGGUGAACCUUUUUUGACAGCUGUUUUUUUCACUCAUCACAUGAGGGUUCUCACAGGAGAGAAGCCCUGAGUGCAGCAAAUGUGGAAAGGCUUUCAUUCACCCUUUCAUUUUUUUUUUUUUUUUGGUGAGGAAUGGUAGCUCAGAGCUAACACCUCUUGCUAAUCCUCCUCUUUUUUGCUGAGGAAGACUGGCCCCGAGCUAACAUCUGUGCACAUCUUCCUCUACUUUAUGUGGGAUGCCUGCCAUAACAUGCCUUGGUAAGCAGUGCAUAGGUCUGCGCCCAGGAUCCGAACCUGUGAACCCUGGGCUGCCAGAAAUGGAGAGCAGGAACUUGACCACUACACCACCAGAUCUGCCCCCACCUUUUCAUUUUUUUCCGGCAUAGUAGGAUCCACACUGGAGAAGAACCUUCUGAGUGUAAAGAAUAUCAGAGAGCAUUUGUGACUGCUCUUCCCUAACUCCUCAACACCCGAGGAGUCACACUGGGAAGAAACCCUGCAAAUAUAGUGAAUGGGCAGGCCCUCAGCCUUCGUUCAUCCCUCACUCGGCCUCGGAGUCUUCAUACUUCAUACUCGGAGUCUCUUACACUUUGUAGUGAAUGUAGGCUACAUGAGAAAGCCUUUUGCAAGUGGGUUUAUGUCAGUCAACAUCCGAGAACUCAUACUGGGGAAAGACCUUUUGAAUGUAACUCCUGAGGAAAAUCUUUUGGCCGUAGGAAAUGUCUUACUAGGCACCUGAGAAAUUAUACCAAAGAGAAACCCCAUAAGUGUCAU